UACUCUACUAUAUUGUUCGCCAGAGUACUACAAGCGCUAGCUUAAAACCCAAAGGACUUGGCGGUAUCCCACACCCACCUAGAGGAGCCUGUUCUAUAACCGAUAAUCCCCGUUCAACCUCACCACUUCUUGCCAUUACCGUCUAUAUACCGCCGUCGUCAGCCCACCCUGUGAAGGACCAAAAGUAAGCAAAAAGAAUAAAACUCCAAAACGUCAGGUCGAGGUGUAGCAAAUGAAGUGGGAAGAAAUGGGCUACAUUUUUUCCCAAAAAUAUACGAAUGAUAAACUGAAAACAUACCUAAAGGUGGAUUUAGCAGUAAGAGAAGAUCAGAAUACUUCUCUGAAAUCGGCUCUGGGAUAAGCACACACCGCCCGUCACUCUCCUCAAAAAUAACUCACCAUUUCCAUAAAUACAUUCCUUCAACAAGAGGAGGCAAGUCGUAACAUGGUAAGUGUACUGGAAAGUGCACUUGGAAUC
Molecule: ribosomal RNA, 478 nt
Filed under: Carcharhinus porosus (smalltail shark)
Lineage: Eukaryota; Metazoa; Chordata; Chondrichthyes; Carcharhiniformes; Carcharhinidae
Description: partial 12S ribosomal RNA
Rfam family: Bacterial small subunit ribosomal RNA
Source: RNAcentral